Molecule: long non-coding RNA, 234 nt
Filed under: Chinchilla lanigera (long-tailed chinchilla)
Lineage: Eukaryota; Metazoa; Chordata; Mammalia; Rodentia; Chinchillidae
Description: lncRNA (ENSCLAG00000027794.1)
Source: RNAcentral
AAGGAAGUAAAAAAUCUGUACACUGAAAAUUACAGUACUCUGAAAAAGGAGAUUGAGGAGGAUAUCAGAAAAUGGAAAGAUUUCCCUUGUUCAUGGAUUGAAAAAAACAACAUAAACCAGGCAUGGUGGAAAAAAGAACAGGUAUUCAGGGACUAUCUCAACACGUCAGGAUACUUCUCUCUCCUGUGCUUCCGUGCGUAUCACCAUCUCUGCAGGAUCAAGAGGUACUUAUAA